GUCUAUUUAAUAUAAUGGUAAAUGGCUGGUAAACCGUUUGGUUUUCGACCACUAUGACCCGGGUUCGAUUCCCGCAUUGGACA
Molecule: non-coding RNA, 83 nt
Organism: Cordylochernes scorpioides
Lineage: Eukaryota; Metazoa; Arthropoda; Arachnida; Pseudoscorpiones; Chernetidae
Source: the annotation of a GenBank genome assembly